GGGGGGUCUGCUCCAGCCCCCAGUCACCUUAGACUCUCCAAAGCCUGAAGGUGACAGUGGCUAAAGCUGCAAAACAGCAAAGAUCAUGGCCCUCCCCUCCCUUUGGGAGCUCCAUCCCAGUGCUAUGUUCUGGGCAUUCAUCUAUCCUCUCGUCAGCUUUUGAUCUAUCACAUCCUGACUAAACUUUACCUCAGAUACUGCUGAUAUUUACUGAUACAACUGGCUCUGGGUCGAACUUGAAGCUGCAGCAGCAGAAGAUAUGGAAAAACUAAAAUCUUCCUCAAGCAAAUAUUAGAGUAAUUGUCAUUAUCUCACCAUGCUCUUUUCCUGGUUAUAAAUAUGCUAGAAAACAUUCUUACUGUAAUUUUAAUAAAGUGUUUCUCUAUGUUUUCUUCUGAUUCUUUUUAUUAUUUUAUAUGUUAUUUGACUAUGUAGUCAACUUAGAAUUUUUGUGCAUAUGUGUAAAAGUGACAUUGCAAGCUUGUUUUCUAUAUGAAUAAAAACUGUCUCCAU
Pongo pygmaeus (Bornean orangutan) is the source of this 513-nucleotide long non-coding RNA. RefSeq lists it as uncharacterized. NCBI's taxonomy places the organism in Eukaryota, Metazoa, Chordata, Mammalia, Primates, Hominidae. The transcript is spliced from 4 exons. The record is from RefSeq and is a predicted model, not a curated record.